AUUUUAGAGAAAAGGGACCUUGACCUGGGUGGGGGGCAAAAUGAUUGACUGGGUGGGUGGCCCUUCGAAUACAAGAAUGUAAAUACAGUUGAACACCGCUGGUUGAACUCGUGCACUUAUCUCGAACUCCUCGCUAUUUCCAAAUUAAACCCGUUUCGCGUGGAUUUGCAAUAUUAUUUCAAUCAUUUUUAUUCGGUUAUCUCGAAUUCGGAUAAAUCCCCGAUAUUUCGAACUAAUUGUGAUUCCCUUGACCGAAUUUACCCUAUUAUCUCGAAAUCUAAUGACUUUGAACUUAUUGACGUUCGGAGCGUAACCAUGCACAUAAAACGAACUCAUAGUAAAUAAAGAAUGCAAUCUGUUUUAUGCGUCUUAUGCUGUUGGAGUGUUGCCGUUCCAACUACCCAAACUCACUAUUGAACGGGCGGUGGAGCGGGGGCUGAAUUGUGCAAGAACGUUUGUCAUAAAUUGUAUAGACGACGCGAAAAUUAACACCGCGGAAAAACGUCUGCGCAUGCACCAAAUUAUGAAAAUUAUGAAAAACGGUUUUCAUCUAAUAACUGAGAUCCUAAUUACAAAUUCAAGUCAAAACACAACAAUGUACUAUAAUAUAUAUAUAUAUAAGCCAAUGAAAUGUUUUCGUUUGAGAUGUUGUGUAAACAACUCGUUUCUCGUGUUUCAUCAGGGGACCAAACACUCGUGUUUGGAUCCCCUGAUGAAACACUCAAACUCGCUGUUUACAUAUAACAUAAAAAAUUAACGUAUAGCUGUACGAUUUGGAUAUUAAGCUAUGUCAAUGUCUAUAGUUUUCGCAGUGUGCAAUGGGGUCAUUCGUUUCCGUGCUUAGAUACAGGUCAGGUACAGGUGGGUUUCAGGCAAUCCCAGCAGACGCCAACUUCAAAUGAAAUUCUUUUGUUUAAAUGCCUUCCAUGUACACUGAACUGGAGCAUGAUGAAAGCCACCUAUUAACGCCGUUUUCCACUUCAACCGUAUCGAACCAAAGCUUAGUGUAUUUCUUUGUUUCCUGAGCAUUAGAGUGAAACUAAUCACUUCGACACAAAAGUGAAUGCUACGAUACGGUUGUAGCGAAAAACAGGCUUUAGAACUAUGAUUCGGACAUGUGUAAAUUACUUUGAAUAUAAUAUAAUGUGGACUUAAUACUUUAGAUAUGCAAAUAUGUAAUCAUUUUGAACUUUGAUAGUAAAAUUAUUUUGACAUAUUAUGGGUGAAUUUCUUGAUAUGCAGUGAAAGUGCCAGAUCUUUUUGGCAUACAAACACGAGUAGAAUUAUGGGUUGUGAUUCCUCUUUAUAAAACCUUUCGUAUUUUUCAAUAAUCCUAAAGACGUCAAUG
Molecule: non-coding RNA, 1348 nt
Organism: Paramuricea clavata
Lineage: Eukaryota; Metazoa; Cnidaria; Anthozoa; Malacalcyonacea; Plexauridae
Source: the annotation of a GenBank genome assembly